Molecule: ribosomal RNA, 253 nt
Filed under: uncultured bacterium
Lineage: Bacteria
Description: partial 16S ribosomal RNA
Rfam family: Bacterial small subunit ribosomal RNA
Source: RNAcentral
UACGUAGGUGACCAGCGUUGUCCGGAUUUACUGGGCGUAAAGAGCGCGCAGGCGGUCGUUCAAGUCGAGUGUGAAAGCCCCCGGCUCAACUGGGGAGGGUCACUCGAUACUGAUCGACUUGAAGGCAGGAGAGGGAAGCGGAAUUCCCGGUGUAGUGGUGAAAUGCGUAGAUAUCGGGAGGAACACCUGUGGCGAAAGCGGCGCACUGGACCAUAACUGACGCUGAGGCGCGAAAGCUAGGGGAGCAAACAGG